Molecule: ribosomal RNA, 333 nt
Filed under: uncultured eukaryote
Lineage: Eukaryota
Description: SSU rRNA
Rfam family: Eukaryotic small subunit ribosomal RNA
Source: RNAcentral
GUAGCGUAUAUUAAAGUUGCUGCAGUUAAAAAGCUCGUAGUUGAAUUUCUGCUUGUUAGAGUCGAGUCCUCGCGGACAAGAUUUCUUCGAGCAUCUGUUUGCAAUCAUAUGUUCGGCCUUCACUGGUUGACUAUGUGAGCAAACGUUUUACCUUGAGAAAAUUAGAGUGUUCCAGGCAGGCUUCAGCCGGAAUACAUUAGCAUGGAAUAAUGGAAUAGGACUGGGGACUAUUUUUGGUUUGAGGCUCCAGUAAUGAUUAAUAGGAACAGUCGGGGGCAUUAGUACUUGACAGUCAGAGGUGAAAUUCUUGGAUUUGUCAAAGACUAACUAAUG